UAGUAGUAGUACGUGUAGUUCGUCUCGGUCGACGAGGAACGACGCGUGGCGGUCGCGUUAAUACGAUGCAAGUCGAGCGGUGAACCCGACUGAAAGCCUUCGGGCUUGACGUUGGGGGAGUCAGCGGCGGAUGGGUGAGUAACGCGUGGGUACCUGCCCUAAAGUCUAGGAUAACAACUCGAAAGGGUUGCUAAUACCGGAUGUGACCGAGAGGUUAAAGGCAGAGAUGUCGCUUUAGGAUGGGCCCGCGUCCCAUUAGCUAGUUGGUGAGGUAAGGGCUCACCAAGGCUGCGAUGGGUAGCCGGCCUGAGAGGGUGGACGGCCACACUGGGACUGAGACACGGCCCAGACUCCUACGGGAGGCAGCAGUAGGGAAUUUUCCGCAAUGGACGGAAGUCUGACGGAGCGACGCCGCGUGGGGGAAGAAGGCCUUCGGGUUGUAAACCUCUGUCUUCAGGGACGAAGAGGGUGUGGGAGACACACCGAAGCCGGUACCUGAGGAGGAAGCCCCGGCUAACUACGUG
Molecule: ribosomal RNA, 524 nt
Filed under: uncultured bacterium
Lineage: Bacteria
Description: bacterial SSU rRNA
Rfam family: Bacterial small subunit ribosomal RNA
Source: RNAcentral